AUGCGCAGAUAUCAGGAGGAACACCGAUGGCGAAGGCAGGUCACUGGGCCGCAACUGACGCUGAGGAGCGAAAGCAUGGGUAGCGAACAGGAUUAGAUACCCUGGUAGUCCAUGCCGUAAACGUUGGGCACUAGGUGUGGGGCUCAUUCCACGAGUUCCGUGCCGCAGCAAACGCAUUAAGUGCCCCGCCUGGGGAGUACGGCCGCAAGGCUAAAACUCAAAGGAAUUGACGGGGGCCCGCACAAGCGGCGGAGCAUGCGGAUUAAUUCGAUGCAACGCGAAGAACCUUACCAAGGCUUGACAUACACCGGAAUCAUGCAGAGAUGUGUGCGUCUUCGGACUGGUGUACAGGUGGUGCAUGGUUGUCGUCAGCUCGUGUCGUGAGAUGUUGGGUUAAGUCCCGCAACGAGCGCAACCCUCGUCCUAUGUUGCCAGCACUUCGGGUGGGGACUCAUAGGAGACUGCCGGGGUCAACUCGGAGGAAGGUGGGGAUGACGUCAAAUCAUCAUGCCCCUUAUGUCUUGGGCUUCACGCAUGCUACAAUGGCCGGUACAGAGGGCUGCGAAACCGCGAGGUGGAGCGAAUCCCAAAAAGCCGGUCUCAGUUCGGAUUGGGGUCUGCAACUCGACCCCAUGAAGUCGGAGUCGCUAGUAAUCGCAGAUCAGCAACGCUGCGGUGAAUACGUUCCCGGGCCUUGUACACACCGCCCGUCAAGUCACGAAAGUCGGUAACACCCGAAGCCGGUGGCCCAACCCUUGGGAGGGAGCCGUCGAAGGUGGGAUUGGCGAUUGGGACUAAGUCGUAACAAGGUAGCCGUACCGGAAGGUGCGGCUGGAUCACCUCCUUU
Molecule: ribosomal RNA, 847 nt
Filed under: Flavimobilis rhizosphaerae
Lineage: Bacteria; Bacillati; Actinomycetota; Actinomycetes; Micrococcales; Jonesiaceae
Description: bacterial SSU rRNA
Rfam family: Bacterial small subunit ribosomal RNA
Source: RNAcentral